Molecule: long non-coding RNA, 677 nt
Organism: Dicentrarchus labrax (European seabass)
Lineage: Eukaryota; Metazoa; Chordata; Actinopteri; Moronidae
Exons: 4
Source: RefSeq, a predicted model, not a curated record
ACAGCCUUUCAACAUUCACAAAAUGAUCUGGCUCGAGACAUCACUUCCUGCUGUGGAACACCGUUAUCAACAGACUUAUUUAGACUUCACCGACCAAGACUGCUGAGGGAAUUAUUUAUCCCAGAGAAAAACAAAUGUCAAGCUCUCUUCUCAAAUAACCAAAUGGAGGAGAAUGCUGUCCUUGCCGCAAAACAUUGGAGCCCUUAGGAAAUAAAGAAUGCCUCUUGGUUGCCUGUAUCAGUUUGAAUAGAUCUACCACAUUUGCAAACCAAAAACACAAGUUGCAGGUUACCCGCAUCAGGGCGGAUCUUAAGGGCCAUUCAUGCAAGACCUGUGCUUGUGUAACGACUACCUGCUGCCUGCAGUUGUCUCGAUUUUGACAGACUUCUAGAGCCACCAUGAGGUUUACGUUUGCGAUGUACCCACAUGACGACAUGUUCAAACACAGCUGCAGUGUGGGGCCAGAGGCCAGUCGAUCAGCCUGCCAAUGUGACGCAAACCUGCUGGCUGUUAGGUAAUAUCAGCCAGAGCGAUGCAUGCUGUUGCUUAGCAAGAUCACUCGCCUCAAUAUCACAGAUCUGAGGUUUUUUUUAACAAUGGAAACAAGAGUCCAGGCGUUCAUCUGGAAAAUUGCCACUGAGUCAGCACAGAUCAGUAACGUCCCCACAAAGAGGAGA